CUACGGGAUGCUGCAGUAACGAAUCUUCCGCAAUGCGCGAAAGCGUGACGGGGUAAUGCCGCGUGCAGGAUGAAGCCCCUCGGGGUGUAAACUGCUGUCAGGGUCUACCAACACAAUGAGGAGACCCAAAGGAAGGGCCGGCUAACUCUGUGCCAGCAGCCGCGGUAAUACAGAGGGCCCGAGCGUUAAUCGGAAUCACUGGGCUUAAAGGGUGCGUAGGCGGACCCAAAGGCAUGUUGUGAAAUCCCUUGGCUCAACCAAGGAACUGCAGCGUGAACCAUGGGUCUUGAGGCAGGUAGGGGCGGUCGGAACGAUAGGUGGAGCGGUGAAAUGCGUAGAUAUCUAUCGGAACGCCAUACGAGAAGUCAGGCCGCUGGGCCUGUCCUGACGCUGAGGCACGAAAGCGUGGGUAGCAAACGGGAUUAGAUACCCUGGUAGUC
Molecule: ribosomal RNA, 440 nt
Filed under: uncultured bacterium
Lineage: Bacteria
Description: partial 16S ribosomal RNA
Rfam family: Bacterial small subunit ribosomal RNA
Source: RNAcentral